This 491-nucleotide ribosomal RNA is filed under the name uncultured bacterium. RNAcentral's name for it is "partial 16S ribosomal RNA". It matches the Rfam family "Bacterial small subunit ribosomal RNA", at positions 29 to 506 of the family's 1533-position model. The record is from RNAcentral.
AGUGAACGCUGGCGGUAGGCCUAACACAUGCAAGUCGAACGGCAGCACAGUAAGAGCUUGCUCUUACGGGUGGCGAGUGGCGGACGGGUGAGGAAUACAUCGGAAUCUACUUUUUCGUGGGGGAUAACGUAGGGAAACUUACGCUAAUACCGCAUACGACCUACGGGUGAAAGCAGGGGAUCUUCGGACCUUGCGCGAUUGAAUGAGCCGAUGUCGGAUUAGCUAGUUGGCGGGGUAAAGGCCCACCAAGGCGACGAUCCGUAGCUGGUCUGAGAGGAUGAUCAGCCACACUGGAACUGAGACACGGUCCAGAAUCCUACGGGAGGCAGCAGUGGGGAAUAUUGGACAAUGGGCGCAAGCCUGAUCCAGCCAUACCGCGUGGGUGAAGAAGGCCUUCGGGUUGUAAAGCCCUUUUGUUGGGAAAGAAAAGCAGCAGGUUAAUACCCCGCUGUUCUGACGGGACCCAAAGAAUAAGCACCGGCUAACUUCGU